GGCCUACCAUGGUGGUAACGGGUAACGGGGCGUUAGGGCACGACACCGGAGAGGGAGCCUGAGAAACGGCUACCACAUCCAAGGAUGGCAGCAGGCGCGCAAAUUACCCAAUCCCGACACGGGGAGGUAGUGACAAUAAAUAACAAUACGGGGUUCUUUCGGAUUUCGUAAUUGGAAUGAGUACAAUUUAAAUCUCUUAACGAGGAACAAUUGGAGGGCAAGUCUGGUGCCAGCAGCCGCGGUAAUUCCAGCUCCAAUAGCGUAUAUUAAAGUUGCUGCAGUUAAAAAGCUCGUAGUUGAAUUUCGGGACCAAUAUGUUGGUCGUGCCUCGGUACGUACUGGCAUUGUUGGUUUCUCCCUUCUGAAGAACCAUGAUGUCAUUUAUUUGGUGUCAUGGGGAAUCAGGACUGUUACUUUGAAAAAAUUAGAGUGUUUAAAGCAGGCUCACGCUUGAACACAUUAGCAUGGAAUAAUGAAAUAGGGCGUUUGAUUCUAUUUUGUUGGUUUCUAGGAUCGACGUAAUGAUUAAUAGGGAUAGUUGGGGGCAUUAGUAUUCAAUUGUCAGAGGUGAAAUUCUUGGAUUUAUUGAAGACUAACUACUGCGAAAGCAUUUGCCAAGGAUGUUUUCAUUAAUCAAGAACGAAAGUUAGGGGAUCGAAGACGAUCAGGUACCGUCGUAGUCUUAACCAUAAACUAUGCCGACUAGGGAUCGGAUGAUGUUAAUUUUUUAAUGACUCAUUCGGCGCCUUACGGGAAACCAAAGUGUUUGGGUUC
RNAcentral lists this ribosomal RNA (774 nucleotides) under uncultured Glomus. RNAcentral's name for it is "SSU rRNA". It matches the Rfam family "Eukaryotic small subunit ribosomal RNA", at positions 338 to 1114 of the family's 1831-position model. Lineage: Eukaryota; Fungi; Glomeromycota; Glomeromycetes; Glomerales; Glomeraceae. The record is from RNAcentral.